This 411-nucleotide ribosomal RNA is filed under the name uncultured bacterium. RNAcentral describes it as "partial 16S ribosomal RNA". It matches the Rfam family "Bacterial small subunit ribosomal RNA", at positions 356 to 758 of the family's 1533-position model. The record is from RNAcentral.
UGGGAAUUUUGGACGAAUUGGGCGAAAGCCUGAUCCAGCAAUGCCGCGUGUGUGAAGAAGGCCUUCGGGUUGUAAAGCACUUUUGUCCGGAAAGAAAUCCUUGGCUCUAAUACAGUCGGGGGAUGACGGUACCGGAAGAAUAAGCACCGGCUAACUACGUGCCAGCAGCCGCGGUAAUACGUAGGGUGCAAGCGUUAAUCGGAAUUACUGGGCGUAAAGCGUGCGCAGGCGGUUUGCUAAGACCGAUGUGAAAUCCCCGGGCUCAACCUGGGAACUGCAUCGGUGACUGGCAGGCUAGAGUAUGGCAGAGGGGGUUAGAAUUCCACGUGUAGCAGUGAAAUGCGUAGAGAUGUGGAGGAAUACCGAUGGCGAAGGCAGCCCCCUGGCAAGUACUGACGCUCAUGCACGAAA